Molecule: ribosomal RNA, 257 nt
Filed under: uncultured prokaryote
Description: partial 16S ribosomal RNA
Rfam family: Bacterial small subunit ribosomal RNA
Source: RNAcentral
UACGUAGGUGGCAAGCGUUAUCCGGAAUUAUUGGGCGUAAAGAGCGCGCAGGUGGUUGAUUAAGUCUGAUGUGAAAGCCCACGGCUUAACCGUGGAGGGUCAUUGGAAACUGGUCGACUUGAGUGCAGAAGAGGAGAGUGGAAUUCCAUGUGUAGCGGUGAAAUGCGUAGAUAUAUGGAGGAACACCAGUGGCGAAGGCGACUCUCUGGUCUGUAACUGACGCUGAGGCUCGAAAGCGUGGGGAGCAAACAGGAUUA